GAUGAACGCUGGCGGCGUGCCUAAUACAUGCAAGUCGAGCGAACGGACGAGAAGCUUGCUUCUCUGAUGUUAGCGGCGGACGGGUGAGUAACACGUGGAUAACCUACCUAUAAGACUGGGAUAACUUCGGGAAACCGUAGCUAAUACCGGAUAAUAUUUUGAACCGCAUGGUUCAACAGUGAAAGACGGUCUUGCUGUCACUUAUAGAUGGAUCCGCGCUGCAUUAGCUAGUUGGUAAGGUAACGGCUUACCAAGGCAACGAUGCAUAGCCGACCUGAGAGGGUGAUCGGCCACACUGGAACUGAGACACGGUCCAGACUCCUACGGGAGGCAGCAGUAGGGAAUCUUCCGCAAUGGGCGAAAGCCUGACGGAGCAACGCCGCGUGAGUGAUGAAGGUCUUCGGAUCGUAAAACUCUGUUAUUAGGGAAGAACAUAUGUGUAAGUAACUGUGCACAUCUUGACGGUACCUAAUCAGAAAGCCGCGGCUAACUACGUG
Molecule: ribosomal RNA, 497 nt
Filed under: uncultured bacterium
Lineage: Bacteria
Description: partial 16S ribosomal RNA
Rfam family: Bacterial small subunit ribosomal RNA
Source: RNAcentral